GUCGUCGUAGCCCAACCGGCAGAGGCACAGCGUUGAGAGCGCUGCCAGUGGAGGUUCGAAUCCUCCCGACGACA
Molecule: transfer RNA, 74 nt
Filed under: Phycisphaeraceae bacterium
Lineage: Bacteria; Pseudomonadati; Planctomycetota; Phycisphaerae; Phycisphaerales; Phycisphaeraceae
Description: tRNA-Leu
Rfam family: tRNA
About the family: Transfer RNA (tRNA) molecules are approximately 80 nucleotides in length. Their secondary structure includes four short double-helical elements and three loops (D, anti-codon, and T loops). Further hydrogen bonds mediate the characteristic L-shaped molecular structure. tRNAs have two regions of fundamental functional importance: the anti-codon, which is responsible for specific mRNA codon recognition, and the 3' end, to which the tRNAs corresponding amino acid is attached (by aminoacyl-tRNA synthetases). tRNAs cope with the degeneracy of the genetic code in two manners: having more than one tRNA (with a specific anti-codon) for a particular amino acid; and 'wobble' base-pairing, i.e. permitting non-standard base-pairing at the 3rd anti-codon position.
Source: RNAcentral